This 253-nucleotide ribosomal RNA is filed under the name uncultured bacterium. Its description in RNAcentral is "partial 16S ribosomal RNA". It matches the Rfam family "Bacterial small subunit ribosomal RNA", at positions 524 to 776 of the family's 1533-position model. The record is from RNAcentral.
UACGGGGGGAGCAAGCGUUGUUCGGAUUUACUGGGCGUAAAGGGCGCGUAGGCGGCGGGGUAAGUCGGGUGUGAAAUCUCAGAGCUCAACUCUGAAACUGCACUCGAUACUGCUCUGCUUGAGGACUGGAGAGGAGACUGGAAUUCACGGUGUAGCAGUGAAAUGCGUAGAUAUCGUGAGGAAGACCAGUGGCGAAGGCGGGUCUCUGGACAGUUCCUGACGCUGAGGCGCGAAGGCCAGGGGAGCAAACGGG